CCUACGGGAGGCAGCAGUGAGGAAUAUUGGUCAAUGGACGCGAGCCUGAACCAGCCAAGUAGCGUGAAGGAAGACUGCCCUACGGGUUGUAAACUUCUUUUAUAAAGGAAUAAAGUGAGCCACGUGUGUCGUUUUGUAUGUACCUUAUGAAUAAGGAUCGGCUAACUCCGUGCCAGCAGCCGCGGUAAUACGGAGGAUCCGAGCGUUAUCAGGAUUUAUUGGGUUUAAAGGGAGCGUAGUUGGGUUGUUAAGUCAGUUGUGAAAGUCUGCGGCUCAACCGUGAAAUUGCAAUUGAUACUGGCAGUCUUGAGUAUAGUUGAGGUAGGCGGAAUUCGUGGUGUAGCGGUGAAAUGCUUAGAUAUCACGAAGAACUCCGAGUGCGAAGGCAGCUUACUAAACUGCCACUGACAUUGAGGCACGAAAGUGUGGGUAUCAAACAGGAUUAGAUACCCCUGUAGUC
Molecule: ribosomal RNA, 460 nt
Filed under: uncultured bacterium
Lineage: Bacteria
Description: partial 16S ribosomal RNA
Rfam family: Bacterial small subunit ribosomal RNA
Source: RNAcentral